CGCAGAGUAGAGCAGUUGGUAGCUCGUCGGGCUCAUAACCCGAAGGCCGUUCGUUCGAGUCGAACCUCUGCUA
This 73-nucleotide transfer RNA is filed under the name Spirochaetales bacterium. RNAcentral describes it as "tRNA-Met". It matches the Rfam family "tRNA". From Rfam's summary of the family: Transfer RNA (tRNA) molecules are approximately 80 nucleotides in length. Their secondary structure includes four short double-helical elements and three loops (D, anti-codon, and T loops). Lineage: Bacteria; Pseudomonadati; Spirochaetota; Spirochaetia; Spirochaetales. The record is from RNAcentral. RNAcentral also lists the same sequence under 1 other name.